Molecule: ribosomal RNA, 2769 nt
Filed under: Triticum aestivum (bread wheat)
Lineage: Eukaryota; Viridiplantae; Streptophyta; Magnoliopsida; Poales; Poaceae
Description: partial small subunit ribosomal RNA
Source: RNAcentral
GGUGCUGGGGCGCGGUGGGGAGAGGAGAAGGAGGGUGGAGUGGAGAUAGAAAGAGAGAGAGAGGAGAAGUUUGGGAUUGGGAUCGGUGGUCGGAGGCGAGGGACGGCGCGGCAGCGCAGCAGAGGAGGAGGGGCGGGAGAGCCAGGAGUCGUCCUCCUCGUGCCGAGCGGCGGCGUCGACGAGGACGAGUUCCUGCUCCACUACUUCUAGUGGGGGCACGUCUUCGUCUGCGCGCAGCCGGUCGCGUGGGCGAAGUUCUGAAAGCAGCCGCCGCCGCUGCCGUUGCCGGUGCAGCUGGAGUUGCAGUUCACGCGGUUCCUCCGCCGGUGCCGGUAGGCGCCGCGGUAGUAGGUGCGGUUCGGGCGACCCCCAGACCUUAGCACCGGCGGGCGCAGGGGUUCUUCCACGACGUCAAGCAGCCGUAGCUACUACAGAAGUGAAGGAGAGCACCUAGGUGGUUCUGGCAGCGGUACCACGAGGUGAUACGGAGCCCCUAACGGCUGCGCGUGCAACCGGAAGGCACGCGCCGCGGCAACAGCGGCACGGCGGGAUAAAGCCGGUCCGGCUCGCGGUCCGGGAGUGCGUUCGCAGGGUCGAGCGGCCCAAGUUGCAGGACCGCGAGCAGUUGCUUGUGCGGGCCCGGCGCGUCGUCAAGCAGGAUGUCGCGGUUCCUCAAGCCCUUCUACCACAGACAGUUGGUCAAGGUCCAAUUCCUACAGUCUACCUUGAGGUUUGACCCUCCGGAACUUUACCUUUACACAAACCAUUUAAUAAGGCAUCUAGUUAAAUUAUUCGUCUGUAGGCAGUCAGAGGAUUUCGUUACCGAUUCAACUUCUUCGUUCAGUUCGCGUGGUUUCUUUAAGACUCGCGUAUAUGGGGAGGAGGUUAGAGUCAACUUAGAGAUAUAUUACUAUAGCUAAAGUCCUCGUGGUAUUGUGCACUUGUUAAACUUCUCGAAACACGUCUAAAUACCCUCGUCCGAGACAGAGGUUAGUUUCUACACGAAUGCGUUAGUCCGUACUUUUAACCACUGCAUAUACGACAUCUCGAUUAACCACCUCGAUGGUCCCAUGGCUUUGACGUCCGAUUCGACGUCCUUAAGGACCCUACCUCACUCGAUCUAUUCGUGGAACUACAACUACUUCGUUAACAAGAACCGCGGAGUGAUGUACGACGAUUAGAUUCACUACCCUAAUUCAACUCGACGUUCAACCCCUACUAACUGCCAAGAUGAAUACCAAAGCACAAACUUUAUCUACCGGGUCUAAUACAGUUUCUACUUUCAUGACUAGUUCAUGACCAAGGUUCCUACUUUUUCUACGGUUACUUCCCUACCCAAUCCCAAACGACAACCUAGGUUGUAAAAAAACAACUACCAACAGCAGACGAGUACGAGAACUGACAGCCUGACGACCCUAGACAGCAACAACACCAACAGAGCUAUCAAUACUAAAAACAGAUGUCAGGAUAAUGUCCACGGACUACGUUUGAUGCGUGUGAUGUGCUCGAUGUUGGGUGCAUACCCACGUUGACACCAAAAGACAGGCAGGGAUAACGUGAUGGUAUAACAAAACCUAAAGCCGGACCGUGGGACCGUGACGUGGGACAACGUUAUGUUUGUUUAUACACAUGUUAAACAUCAGUAAAGUACCGUCAAUUACGUCUUUUAAGGACGAGGGGCCCUCCACUAAUGACAGCUAACACGAACAUAAAACCGAUACUGUUGGUGGUAGUUGAAAGCCCAUAUCUUGGGAUGGGGUGUGUCUUCUCCUCAGGAACAUAGUCCCGCUCUUCGUAGUAGAAUACGUCCCACAGUUGGUCGAUUUUCGUAGAGACUGUCCUGUAAUGGGACAGGGACCGGUUGUAACUACGCCAAGAAAGGAUAAUUAGUACACACUAAUAUAACUAGCUCAAUAAAUUUGCUAAGUAUACUUAUUACUAAAAGAAACGUAGUAACAGUAUAGUACAACAACUUCCCCUCGGAACCGCGUCACCAUUUCGACGACGGAACACUGGUACUCCAGUACCCAAGUUCAGGACCUUUGUCGGAGAAUGUCUUUACAUCCCUUUCCGACGCAUGAUAUCUGGGUUUCACCAGCCUGGGAAGGGACCUGGGACGCGUUCGCCCUCGAUGUACGUGGUCUACGUUUUACCUCGGCCGCUGGUCGGGAAGAAGGAGUGGGAGUCGGAACUUUGGUGACAACUGCGGAGGUUCUCGUCAGCCCGUAGCCGCAGCUGCGGCCAUUCCGUUGUACGCAACGUUGUACGUUGGUUUAGUUUACCUCACACCUGUUUCAAUAUAUACCUGUUUCAAUAUAUAGUUCGUUUAACCUACUUCAAAAGAACGUCUUUGACGGUGGCAGUCAGUAAUGGUACCUUAAUAAGCUGGAAGUUUUCUUCUGUGGUUAUAGACCUACUGCUUUCGGUACCCUCCACCUGGACUGCUCGUCUGUCUUCGUUAAAAAAACUUUGUGUAGUAUGCCUCUUGUGUAUUUUAAAUGCUGUACUGUACGAGAUCUACUAUUUUUUAUUGUACGGUACGAUUAAAUACUUGAUAUUUUAACAGUACCGACACUUUAUCUGAAUGGUCUCCUCAUCUAUAUCUCUUGUGGUAAUAGAAAAAGUAUUUAACUGUACGAUCGAUGAUACCGGUACGAGAUUUUUUGUACAUUACCCCUGUACGAUCGAAGGAUCCUUAUCUUUAUUUUAAUGGUACCCAUGUACAGUUUAUAUGUAACUAUGUUUUACCUGUAUACUGAUCUGAACAAC